UAAACACCCCAUCCGAAUGAUGUAAUUUAUUUUUAUCUUUCGGAGACAUCUGUAUAAACCCCAUCAGAGGGUAAUAUAUAUAAACCCCAUCAGAGGGUCAAAAAAAAAAAAAAAAAAAAAAAAAAAAAAAAAAAAAAAAGGGAAAAGCCCAAAACAAAUGGGCUGGCAUGUUGUGGAGGGCGAAGGCCCAUAAGCCUGAAAUAGCACCAACCAGGUGAUCAAAAUUACUCCCAGGUCAUCCACAAUUAUUCGGCAACCCGCCGUUAUUACCACCAACCAGGUGAUCAAAAGUACGCCUAGUACUCCAAAUUAUACAUGAGCACUACUCAUGUCAUUCAUACAUAAACAUUCAUGAGCAUCACUCAUGACAAUCAUGCAUAAACAUUCAUGAUCAUCAUUCAUGUCAACAUUCAUGAGCAUAACUCAUGUUAACAUUCAUGAGCAUCACUCAUGACAACAUCCAUGAGCAUCACUCAUGUCAAUCAACAUAAACAUUCAUGAGCAUCACUCAUGUCAAUCAGCUUCAAAAGCUUCAUUUACAAAAGCUCCAGUUUCGAAAGCUUCAUUUCCAGAGCUCUAGCUUCAAAGCUUCACUUGCAAAGCUUCACCUACAAAGCUUCAGUG
This 624-nucleotide long non-coding RNA is filed under the name Malus domestica (apple). Its description in RNAcentral is "long non-coding RNA (MDOM_LNC000902)". Lineage: Eukaryota; Viridiplantae; Streptophyta; Magnoliopsida; Rosales; Rosaceae. The record is from RNAcentral.